GAGUGAAUCACGUUUGAUAAUAAAAUUGGAACGAUACAGAGAAGCUUAAAAUGGCUCAUACACAAGAAUGAUAUUCAUGGAUGGAUAAAUAAUAUAUUCUUUU
Small nuclear RNA from Solanum dulcamara, 103 nucleotides. The record is from RefSeq and is a predicted model, not a curated record. NCBI's taxonomy places the organism in Eukaryota, Viridiplantae, Streptophyta, Magnoliopsida, Solanales, Solanaceae.